This 987-nucleotide long non-coding RNA is filed under the name Numida meleagris (helmeted guineafowl). RNAcentral describes it as "lncRNA (ENSNMEG00000005643.1)". The record is from RNAcentral. Lineage: Eukaryota; Metazoa; Chordata; Aves; Galliformes; Numididae.
AGUUCUUCUGCUGAUAAAAAUUGCAGUCAUCCAUUACUGGAAAAAUGCUACUUAAUUGCAGGAAAUGGAGAUUACACGUGACAGUAGGCCUCUACUGGGAUACUAGGACACAGAAGCUGCCUUCUAAGGAGUACACUCAGCUCAUUAGUGAGCUCCCUGUGCAACCUCCUCCCCCCUACCACCCAAAGGAGGUUUCCUUCUUGGGCUCAAGCUCUGUUCAGAGAUGCUGCAGCUGUAACCUUGAAUCAGAGACAGUCAUGAAGACACUCAGUAUGUGAGAAGGAGCUGUGGGAAACCUCAUACAGUGCUUCUGCGAGUGAGGCUUUUGUCCUGCUGGCCAUGCUGUGUCACUGAGCUUCCGGUUCACCAUCUUUUGCAGAGACACCUACCCUUGCUGCUCCCUUUGUAUCACUCAUCAGUGACCUUCAUCACUAACUUCAUAUUUGUUUGCUUGGGAAGCUGGAAACCUACAGGACCUCUGGAAGGAACAAAUAGGAUUUAGGCCUCAGGAACAUGCCUAUGCCCUGUUCUAUUUUUGUGAAAUCUGUGUCCCAGGGGGUUGUCGUGGAGCCCAACCUGCACUGCAUCAGCAAGCUCUGGCAGCUGUUCAACUCUGCACAGGGACCAUUCACCCUCCUUCUGAUAGUCAGUUUCUCCCAUGAGUGAGAGAGCAUUGUUUCAGGUUCAUACUGGCUGUUUUGCUCUUGUAGAAGGACUCUUACAGUGCUUGGUUGGUAUUCCUUGCCAAGAAGUAGUGACUGUCCUGGCUAGUGGAUGAGGCUAAUGAUGUUCUUUUGACUGUGUCACUGGCAUUCAUUGUCAAUUUACUUCAGGUGUGAGGUCCAGAGUUUUUCUUCAGUCUUCUGAAACAAACUUGGACAGGAACUUUAGCCUACGCAUACAAAUACUCUGUUAUAACACGGUAUUAUGUGAAAAUCUGUCAAAUAGCAGUCUGUAGGAGUCCAGGCUUUCACACCAGCAUUACAA